This is a long non-coding RNA of Syngnathoides biaculeatus (alligator pipefish), 1488 nucleotides long. RefSeq lists it as uncharacterized. The transcript is spliced from 3 exons. The record is from RefSeq and is a predicted model, not a curated record. NCBI's taxonomy places the organism in Eukaryota, Metazoa, Chordata, Actinopteri, Syngnathiformes, Syngnathidae.
GGCUCACAGGGAUCGCAUGGAUUCUAGACGCCGGCAAUGUAGCCCAGUUGUCUUUAUCUUGGCUGAUCCUGAUUCUCCUAUCCCCCUUUAGAUCUCUCGCAGAAGCGCAUUACCAUGACAACGCCGGGAAUCCUGGCUAACGACGAAACAGGGAGCCAAUCGCGCGGGCGCGAGUGUCAUAACAUGCAGGCGAACGUCUUCUUGAAUUACUUGAUUUGGAACUACAUGGAAUAUUUCUUGGAGCCCUGGAAACAGUCAUGUGAGCCUGCGUCGAACCACAAUGGCAAACUGUGUCGUUGGAGCAUGAACUCAACCUUUUUUCAGGGGGGGGGGGGUCAUGACAGACAUGCGUGAUUCUGAGCGGAACCGGCUUUGGGACGUUAUUUGGAUUUGGUGUUUUGUGUGGAGACUCUUCUGUCACAUAGAACACCAGACACCUUCCGCCAAUUGUUCCACCCCGCUUGGACCCGGCCACGAUGUACGGAUUAGAGACGGUGGCUCUGAAGAAACAACAGGAAGCAGAAUUGGAGAUUCUUGAAGAGAAGCAGAAAACGGUGCGGUAAGGUCCGCACACACACAGAUGCUCGUAACCAUAAAUACAAAUGCUUAUUAAUCAAAGAGCCAGAUGAUUACAUCCCGCAUACUUUUACGCUCAUAGAUUAUUCUAAUGGGUCCUUUGCAGGUCUUGCAGAACUUCCUAACAACUACAUUACAGGGCUAAAUACCUUCCGCUGCAUUAAAGUAGACAAGGUGCGUAAUUAAUUCAUCGAUUAUUUAUAUCUCCCCACAACAAUAACAAGAACAAAGGAUCAUGGUCCCAAUUAAUGUUUAAAGGUCACAUGACUAGAGAGAGGCGCUUUCCUGGAAUGAAUCAUCAUAUGUAAACACACACACACACACAUUCACAUCUAUGUAUAUAUAUAUUUUAUAUGUCAUGCAUAGUCAUUAACAGAAAUAGGUGGUCUGAAGUAAAAAACACAAUUUAACCUGUAAAUUCUCUUCUGAUAAAUCAAACAUGAUGAGACAAAAAAAUGUAUUCCUGUUAGAGUAUAAAAGGUAUGUCUUCAAGUUGACUUUUGGGUUGUGUAGAUCAUGGUAUUAUUAAUUGCAAAUGAUAAAAUUGUAAAAUGUCAAUUAAUAAACUUGAAAUUGAUAUAUUAAAUUCAAACAAGAAUAUGUUUACAUAAAAUAAAUUACACUAAAGGAAUAUGCUCAUAGUAUAUUUAAAGAAAUUCCAAAAUAUCAUAAGGGACAUUCAUGUUGCCCUUUUGUAACCCUAAAAAAAUAGGAUAAAAUGCUACAAUUACAUCACUUGAACACACUAGUAAAAGUAGCUGUGGUGAAUUGUAAAAUUGACGACACAUAUAAUAAGUGACCAUAAAAAAAAUUCUAGAUCACAGUUUUCAUAUUUCCCUCAUACCCUGAAUCAUUUCGCCUUGUUUACAUUUGAAGAGUUUGUUUUCAAAACGAGACAUAGGCAUUCUUUUC